This is a long non-coding RNA of Peromyscus leucopus (white-footed mouse), 2021 nucleotides long. RefSeq lists it as uncharacterized. The transcript has 3 exons. Lineage: Eukaryota; Metazoa; Chordata; Mammalia; Rodentia; Cricetidae. The record is from RefSeq and is a predicted model, not a curated record.
GAGGAGGAAGAGGAGAAAGAGGAGGGGGGGUGGCACCUCCCACCGUGGGUUUGGCUCUCCAGCACCAAGUGAUCAAUCAAGGAAAUGUUCCACAGGCUACUACUCUACAGAUGGAGACUUCCAGGGCCAAUAUGGUGCCUGUUUCCUCCGACGGGGACUAGGAGAAGAUGGUGGAACAGAAGGCAACGUUAUAAGACCAAUCUCCACAUUGCCUUUUCCUGACACCGGCUGUGGACCCAGGGAGGAGGUAUCGGCUUUUGGUUGCCCUUCUCAUCAAGCCCGAAGGACAUCAGCGCUGGCGAGCCUUAACCCCUCUGCAGCCAGGCCACGGGGAGAAGUGUGCAGCUGUUCUCAAUCUUGCGAUAGGGCGCCAAGACUGUGACCUUCCUGAGUCCCAGGAUCGCUCCGCUCCCACCCCAGCUGAGACUGGCUGGGCUGCCUGUCUCCUUUCCUGGGAUUCUCCCUCUUUUCUUUCCAUAGACCUUGAGCCACGGUUUCCACGCAGCCCUCUCCAGAGGUGCCAAAUCCCUCAUUCUCUGCACCACAGGGCCGAAAGGUAGAGUCGGGUCAAUAUUUCCCCCAUGCCAUUUCCUGCUCACUACUUUCUUUCAUCCUCUCUCACCCUCAGCUUGCGCCACCGACAUCCCCUGCUUCUAGCUUUGCCCUGCCCCUCUUUUUCUCUGCUCUUACCAGUCUCUCAGACAUGCAUGCCAUGCUGCUUCACCUAGUGAAGACUCCAGCCAUACUAGAGUAUUUUUUUUCUACCCUUACUGGAGUAUUCUAGAAAAAUGGAAUGACCUGUUUUCAUACUCUGGCCGCUGGCUGUCUUCACCUUCAUCUCCAGGCACUCUGGUCUUACCUAUUCAUGCCCUGUAGACUUUAUGGUCACUAUAGCCUCAAACGCUUCUGGAACUGGGUUUCACCUCCCUCUAAGCACCCAUCACUUCUACGCCUUUCGUCUCCGUGGCUCCGGGGCCCUUGCAACACGUAUCUGGAUUCAUGACAGUUGGCAGAACCGAUUUUAGGAAAGGUGGGUAUGUCCGGUCUUGUUGGAGGAGGUGUGUCACUGGAUUUGAGGUUCCAGAAAGCCCAUGUAGUCCCAGUUAGCUCUCUCUGCCUGUGGAUCAGGAUGUAAGCUUUCACCUGCUGCUCCAGCACCAUACCUGCCUUCAGCCAUGCUCCCAGCCAUGAUGGUGACCAACUGUAACCCCCUGACACUAUACACCUGCAUCCCUUAUCAUCCUGCUAAUCUACAAUCGCCCAGGAUCCUUGCUGAUCUCUCUCAGCCUUCUUGCCACAUGGAUGAAACAUCCCCGUUUCUUCAGGCAAAGAAAAAUGUUGUUCACUGUUCUAUUCCCAUCCCUUCUCAUCAUCUCAAGGGCUCUGCUCAUUUCCUGGUUCUUGUGUUCUCAUUCUCCAUCAGGCUCUCUCUCCCUGCCGAGCCAUUUUUACCAGACACAGUCUAGUCCCUCUCAUCUUAAAGACAAAGUCUUGUUAGGGAGGAUCGAAGUUUGCCUGACACAGCCAAGGGACCCAUAAGUCAGUGCACCCAACAAGGAGGUUGACUCUGGCAGCACAAGGUUCCUCACGGUGGCUUCUUCUUCUGUGUUGCUCUGUCAUCCUUAACUCCCAGAAGAGGUUAGAUACUCCAGCCACUUCCAGCACCUCAGUCAUCGGCCGGAAAGAAAGGGAAAUGGAGGGUGAAGAAACAUCUGUUUCUGCAGCUGCAUAUCCACCAUGUUCGCUCACAGACUUGGCCUUAUGGCGGGCGUCUCUGGUUGUGAGGGAAGCUAAGGCACAGUCUCUGAGUGUCAAUCAUUUGAUUAACUAACGAGGAAGAAGAGCAUGAAUAUGGAAGCUGGUGAUCUCUUCUCUCACACAAAGUCCUUGGCUAAUCCUUUCCCAAGUUCAAAGCCCACAGGGUUUUAUCCAGUAAUUACUGCAACCAGCUCAAACCGGGACUGUAGUGGGUAGCCAUUCCAGCUUUGACCUGGAAGUUCCAACCCCCAUUGAGUCUUCGA